GACGAACGCUGGCGGCGUGCUUAACACAUGCAAGUCGAGCGGUAAGGCCCUUUCGGGGGUACACGAGCGGCGAACGGGUGAGUAACACGUGGGUGACCUGCCCUCAGCUCUGGGAUAAGCCUGGGAAACCGGGUCUAAUACUGGAUAUGACUCCAUGACGCAUGUUGUGGGGUGGAAAGCCUUGUGCGGCUGAGGAUGGGCCCGCGGCCUAUCAGCUUGUUGGUGGGGUGAGGGCCUACCAAGGCGACGACGGGUAGCCGGCCUGAGAGGGCGACCGGCCACACUGGGACUGAGACACGGCCCAGACUCCUACGGGAGGCAGCAGUGGGGAAUCUUGCGCAAUGGGCGAAAGCCUGACGCAGCGACGCCGCGUGAGGGAUGACGGCCUGGUGUAACUACUU
RNAcentral lists this ribosomal RNA (401 nucleotides) under uncultured bacterium. RNAcentral describes it as "bacterial SSU rRNA". It matches the Rfam family "Bacterial small subunit ribosomal RNA", at positions 28 to 435 of the family's 1533-position model. The record is from RNAcentral.